This 237-nucleotide long non-coding RNA is filed under the name Ananas comosus (pineapple). RNAcentral's name for it is "long non-coding RNA (ACOM_LNC018630)". The record is from RNAcentral. Lineage: Eukaryota; Viridiplantae; Streptophyta; Magnoliopsida; Poales; Bromeliaceae.
UUUUUAUUUAGCAAGCGCUCUAUUAUAAAAAAUUAUAUCUAGAAAGAUAGUAUAUAAAAAAUAAACUUAGUUGAAAAUGUAAAAUAACUAGAUUUCAAAAUUUGAACUUGAAACCUCUGGGCAUCAACCGUCGAACUAUAUGCUACCUAUAUUAGGGUCGAUCAGUGUAGAAUGAUUCUUCCUAAUUCGUCAAUAUCGAUCUCUUACACUCGAGACAUACGAUGGCAAUUCAAUUUC